AUCAAACCAAGUAGAAGUUGUAGAACACACAUAAUUAUAAACCACGCCAAGCUCGUUUUGGCGGUGGAUUUCUGAGAACCCUAAUACGUAGGUGAGUAGUACUUGUAGAAUCUUCUAGGGUUUAUACUUUUUAGCAGUAUAAUCACGACUACUGAACGAAUACAAUUUAGUUAAUGAAGAAGAUUAUGUGAAGUAAUCGCUUCCAACGACAGGUUAAUUAUGAAGGAAGUUGUGACCAUCCAAGUUGGAGGUUUCGCCAACUUCAUCGGCUCUCACUUCUGGAACUUCCAGGAUGAGUUGCUCGGGUUGGCUGAGGACCCUUCUAGUGAUCCAGUCUUCAAGAAUCAUUCUUUAACUAUGGACGUGCUCUACCGUUCUGGUGAGACACAGCAGGGCACCCUUACAUAUACUCCACGCCUGGUUUCCGUUGACUUCCAAGGUUCACUUGGAUCUAUGAGUUCACGUGGUUCAUUAUAUAACAAGGUUGCAUCUGCACCACCAGAUGUCAUCACAUGGACUGGUAAUGUUUCCACUCAUGCAGCUGAACCUCGAAGGAGGAAUUUGUUCUUGCAAAGAUUGCAUGAAGAAGAGCAGGAGAAUCUGACUCCAGUGGAUGGCAUCAAUGAUGCGAGGAAUAGUCCCCAGAGAGAAAUCCAGGAUGAGGAUAUAGUUGAAUACUUAGAAAAUGGUGUUCAAUAUUGGACAGACUUCUCAAAAGUUCACUACCAUCACCAAAGUUUACAUGAACUGAGUGGAUUAUGGAUGGACAAUCAGGAAUUUGACAAUUAUGGAAUUGGAAGGGAUGCCUUCUCUUGGGCGUUACGAGGAGAAGAAAUUAGUGAUAGGCUUCGCAUGUUUGUAGAAGAGUGUGACCAUAUUCAGGGUUUUCAGUUCAUUGUCGACGAUUCAGGUGGUUUCUCCUCUGUAGCUGCAGAUUUUCUAGAGAAUAUUGCCGAUGAAUACACAAACACACCUGUGUUGCUCUAUUCUGUCAGGGAUCCUGUUUCUCACAUGAUCCACAAAAGCCAGAAGCAAACAAUCUCUAAGAAACUUCAUGAUGCAGUUUCAUUUUCAAGACUAUCAUCCUUCUGUAAACUGAUUGUGCCAGUUGGUCUCCCCUCCUUGAGUCAAGCUUCCCCGUUCCUCUGCAUUAAAGAUGAGAAGCCUUACCACUGCAGUGCUGUUUAUGCUGCUGCACUGCACUCUAUUAGUCUUCCAUUCCGAAUGGAACCACUUGGUCCCACUUCAGAUUCACGUUAUGUGUCCGGUGCUGUUGACAUCAAUGGUCUUGUACAAAUGCUAGCAGGGGGAGCUAGGCGGAAUAUGGUGACUAUUUUGGACGUUGCAAUGCCAGCACCUUCUUUGACUGGGAAACAGGUUGAGAAAUCUUUGCUAGGAAAUUUACAGACGUUGACACCUGAGAUAGCAGAGGAUGUGGAAGACUUGCAAUCGGUGGAAUCCAUGACCAUCAGUGGGGCCCUUGGGUCAGGAGGCCAUCGGGCUUCAGUUUCUGUGGUAAAGGAUUAUGUUCAUGCUGCUUAUGAAAAUGCAAUAACAAGACCAAAGUUCUGCAAUCUAUCAGUGGCUCUUUGUCCUCUUCCAAUACCUUUGCCUUUUCCUAAAAUAUUUGGGAACCUUGUUGGCCAACAUGGUGAGCUGUUGGGGAGUCCAGUCAGUGGUUCUCCUUUGAGGGGAUCACUUGACAUCCAUUCCAUCCCAUUGGCGGGUAGAUUACGUUCUAGCAGUGCUGUCUUGCCAUUUUUGGAGAAUAGAUUGGGAAAUCUUCGUAGAUUUGGAACUCAGCAAGGUGCAGCUGGGGCUGAGUUAGUUAGGAGAUGGGGAUUUGAAAAGGAUGAAUUAGAAGACAUGGGAGAGAGGCUCUCUAAAAUGGUUAUGGAAUUGGAUCCUUAUUCUCAGAUGUCAUCAGAUUCAGAUUAAUUAAUCUGGUGUGUGUGAAUAUUGGGGUUUCUUUUUCAUUUGUUUUCUCCAAGGCUAUGGAUGUCGGCAAGUGGAGACAUUCAUUGAAGUGGGGAAAUGGUUUGCCAUUUGCAUGGAGGAGAGCUUCAAGGCUGCAAAAGAUAUGGUAAUUUGGUAAGGAAAGUCAAAGACAGCUGAAAGUCGGAACGCAACCUUCAUUUGGUGAGAAAGAUGUACGCAUGACUUGUAUGGUGCAACAUGCCACCACUUGAAGUUCUCUUUCUUUUUUCUUCUUUAUUUUGGUGGUAUAGGGAACUUUGCAAGUCUUUAUAAAAAUUAUUUA
RNA transcript from Alnus glutinosa, 2260 nucleotides. RefSeq lists it as uncharacterized. The record is from RefSeq and is a predicted model, not a curated record. The transcript is spliced from 10 exons. NCBI's taxonomy places the organism in Eukaryota, Viridiplantae, Streptophyta, Magnoliopsida, Fagales, Betulaceae.